AAAGAGUAGUUCUCAUGGGGCUGUUCAUAAAAGAGUAUGCCUGGAGCUGCUGGUGGCCACCUUGACCCAUGAGGGAGAUGGCCUGAAAAUGGAUCCUAUAUUGAGGAGAUCAGCUUGAUGCAGGUAAACAUGAGGACCUUCAAAGCCAUUUUGGAUGUUGGAAGUGGGAGGAGCCACAAGGAGGAAGGACUCUGGGUACCAGAAUCACUCUUGGAGAUGAGCUUCAUGACAAUUAGGAGUCCCUGCUUGGGAGUACUACAUAAGUGAGAAAUAAGUGUCUGUUGUGUUAAACCAC
This is a long non-coding RNA of Leopardus geoffroyi (Geoffroy's cat), 295 nucleotides long. RefSeq lists it as uncharacterized. The record is from RefSeq and is a predicted model, not a curated record. The transcript is spliced from 2 exons. Lineage: Eukaryota; Metazoa; Chordata; Mammalia; Carnivora; Felidae.